Molecule: long non-coding RNA, 5065 nt
Filed under: Gossypium barbadense (sea-island cotton)
Lineage: Eukaryota; Viridiplantae; Streptophyta; Magnoliopsida; Malvales; Malvaceae
Description: long non-coding RNA (GBAR_LNC017702)
Source: RNAcentral
AAAUUCUAAAUGUCUGCUAAUUGCUGGAAAUUCCCCUCGUUAUAUAAUUAUAAUAAAACUAGGUAAAGUUGAAAGGAAAGGACCUAUAAAGUUAAUGCUUCAAAGCAUAUGCUUGGAAGAUACUCUCCCCACAAACCACAGCAUUUUCUUUUAAAGCACAUUGCCCUUUCUUCCACUCCUUUUUCUCUUUGAGAAACCAUCCAUGGCCUCAUUCUAGAUUUCAAAUGCUAUUAUCACAUGAUGGUAUCGAGUACGUAUGGCAGCUGCAACGACAACGGUGAUGAUGAUGAGGAUGGUGAUGAACAUGCAAAUGAACCAUGAUGGUUAAACUUGUAGCAGGUGUUUAAUCACUUGGGCAACUAAAGACCCUUUGGCAGUUCAUCUAGAAUGGGGGAACAUUAUGCCUCAAGCAUAGUAGUAAACAAGCUUAACCAGUUAAGUUAUUUCUCUCUACAUUCAAAGGGAACAUUCAUCUGUUUUCUUUCUACUUGUAUGCUUGAGCUUAUUGUUUUUCCCAUUUUGUAGUUCUUUUUUAAAAUAUGUUUUGGCCUCAAAAAACAUCAAAAUGAGGCCGUGACUACUGAGAGUUUUUCUAUAUGUUUGGCAAUAUGCUGUACUUCUUUUGUUCUCCAUUCAUUAAAAUGGAUUGAACCCACCCUUAAUUAUAUAUUUAUGGGCUGAAAGCAUGAAAGAAUGUGCAGAGUCACUUGAUCAUUAAUUCAUCGCUAGCAAAAUGAGAUGAGAUAGUUUAUGAGCUUCGAGUCUCAUGAUUUUGCUCUCUAUGUUGCUAUGUAUUGCUUCAAAUUCAGACACCCCAAUUUUCAUACAUUUGAAAGGUUAAAAUCUUGCUUCAAGGAGAUUAGUUCUCCGGAAAAAGUUUUUGAAGUGUCCUCAAAGAUACCGAUCUGAUCUCUCAACAAUGAAAGGUAAAGGUUUUAUCCCUCUCCCCUUAGAGAGUCGUGUAUGGUUCAUAAAAGUGAGUGUCUUGACUGUACAUGAACAUACAGUUCCUACUAAGAGGCGACAUGAGUUGUCACAUAAAGUGGUGUCAUAUACACCAAUAGGUGACCUAUAUACAAUAGAUCAGGGGUUCUAAUCCCACCAAAAAUAAAACACUCGUAUCAUCUCUUGAUAGGUGGUCAUACUUUCACAUAGGGUCCAAGCAUCAUUUAUGUUCCAUAUCCCAACAUCAACAUGUCUAGUUUUAUUUUAGAUUUUUUUCAUACAUUUGGACCAUUAAAACCCAACUCCAUUCAUGUCCAUAUACGAACAGAUAUAGAUACCAGGCAAUAAUUUUUUAUGAAAAUAAAUAUUUAUAGCAUAGAUUUAAACUUUCCUCCUCCUUAGAAUAUUUUGAAGCUUUCUAGAUUUAGUGAAAUUAUGCAUAUUUUCUUUCAUAAAGAUAUUCAGCCAUGUAACCGGUAGAGUUAUGAUAAGGUUAAAAUAGGCUCCAAUCCUUGUACUUUUUAUAAAUUUCAAAGUUAAUCCAUCUUACAUUUCAGAUUUUUCAAGACUUUAACAAUGCUAACAAUUAAAGUUACAUUUUUUAAAUCUGAAAACUGACUAAAUCCCUUAAAAGUAGCAUUCAAAAACUAGAAUCUUAAAAUUUAGAUUUAAAAAUAGUAUAAAUUGAUGUAACAUUCAUAAUACUUCCUUAAACCCUUGGAGAGUUAGUUAGAAAUGAUUUUGAAAUCCUUAAAACAAUUUUGGAUUUGACAAAUCCAUGUUUUUAUACAUUUUUAACAUAUAUGCAUUUCAUUCUCACCAUUUCCACAUUAAAUAAAAUCCGAAUGCAAAUUUUCAAGUUACCAAACAAGACAUAAAAUAAAAGUGGAGGAACAAAAGUCCAAAAGUACAAGGAGAUGUAAACCUUAAUCAUAAGAAGGAUUUUGAUUCUCAGUAGUUCUCCAGUAUACCAUUACGCCUUGAAAUAUAAUAAUCAUCAACCAAAUCAUGAGAAAAAGAAAAAGGAUAAUAUGCAAAGUUAUAAAAUUGUGAAAAAACAGGGUACAGAAACCUUAACGAGCCAACUUCAAACUAUCAGAUGACAAAAAGGCAAACGAACCAAAACCUCGUAAUCCCCUAAAUAUGAAUUGAAAUCGGUACCAACAGGGGUUCUAGAUGAAGAGAAACUUCAAACAAAAAUGAAAAAUCUAAGAAAUUUGCCUCAAUAGAAGAAACCAAGUACUUUUCCACCAACAUUCUUUCUUCUAGCUUCUUCGUGGUCCAUGAUGCCAGCAGAUGUGGUAAGCACAAUAUACCCAAACUGCAAUAAGAAGACACAUAGAUCCCAUAAUAUUCUAUCUCAUUUGAACUGAUUGAACCUUCCAUUAACUUAUGUCACCCAUAAAAUCUUAUCUAGUGGACUAUGAGAAUAAAUGCAAGACAUGUCACUCGACCAACUAUAUGAUGGCAUAAAUCAAAAGUGUCCAAGCUAACCUGUCUGGAAGGAAGUAGCCUAGCGGUCCAACCCUCGAUCUCUUUGACACCGACAUCGAAACGAGGACUAAUCACCCCACACUUGUUGAGUCUCCCAUUGAGUUCAACCACAAUCUUGCCAGCUCUGUGAUCAUCAACAUACUCAAACUCUCCAAUGUAACCUAAAAAAGGGGAAUCAAAAGGUUAAAUGUAUCAGCAUUUUCGUAUCAAUUAUAGAUUUUAAAAAAAGGGCACGGUGGAGAGCAAACCAUGCUUUUGCAUGACCAAAAGGAAUUUGAUGAUGACUUUUGAGGAAGGCCUGAUCAUAACCUGUCGUUUGCCCCUCUUUUCUGCAUUAUACAUGCUCUUGAGUGCGUCGUUCAAAACGCUGACUCUCACCAUUCUUCCAAAUCCAAGUUGCUGCAAAUCAGAUUUUAAAAACCAAGCAGUUCAUGAUUGUAACUUGUAAGCAUUAAUUUCUCAAAAUGACACCUCUUCCUAUUCUCUUACAUCAUUCAAACCAAAACCCAAUUUUGUUCUGCUGAUAUUAAAAUUAUUCUAACCAUAAGAAAAUGUAGAAACAACUGAUUCUUUCUCAGAAGACAACAAAAUAGAGAAAAGAGAUGUUGGAUCUAAAGUUGGAAAGGAAAAGGAAAGUUUACCUGGAACCAAAAAUGGCGGCCGCGUCUCCGUGUAGUUUGAGAAGAGUGAAAAGAGUUGAAGAGAAUGUAUGUUUCUAGGGCUGGAGUUGGAAAUUGAGUUUAAAGUGGAGCAUGUAUUCUAAACUCUAUUUAGGCCCAUUAAAAGGUUUCAAAAAUCCAAGUCCGAUCUACUCUUUCAUCUAUCCUCAUCAUCCAGCAUUUGGAAAAAAAAAACUAAUCUAAUACCUUUAAAUAAAAAGUAAAAAAAAUAUCUCCUUUAUUAACUCGAAAAAAUUAAAUUAUAUUAAUAAUAAAAUAUCAAUGUAUUCGUAAUUUAAAUUUUAAUAACUAAAAUAAAUUAGGAUUUUACUAUACAUUUAGACAUCAAUCAAAAUGUGUCCCUUCCAUCAAUUUUUCUUAAUAAUAUCUUAACCCUAAUUAAAUAAAUUUAACAAGUCAUCAUAGUAAUGCAAUGGUUAUGGACUAGUCGGAUUAAAAAUUUAGAAUUUUAAAAUUUAUGAUUUUAUGAAAAGGGUGACAUUAGGAUCUAAAGUUUAGAGUUUUAGAAUUUUAUUUAAAAAAUAGAUUAAUUUAUUAAUUUUAGAGUUAAAAAUAGUAAUACUAGUUAAUUUAAUGCUUCCUCAUGUAUUAUAUUCUUCAUGUACUCUAAAAAAAUAUGGUGCGACAUGAUAUUAUUGGAUGCUUAAAAAGUGAAUUUUUAGGAUAAAUUCUCAUCUAAGUUAAACUCUUUUUUUUACUAUAUUUGAUCCAUUUUAUUCUAUCAGACUCUAUUUUAAUUAUAUUAGGAUAAUUAAUAUUAAUAUAAUUAUUAAGGAUUAUUUAAUUUUAAGAUUUUAUUUUAUUUAUCUUCAAUUAAAUGAAUUUAUCUUUUGGGAAUUUAAGUAGGAUUAGAUUGUCUCCCCUAGCACUAUAAAUAGGGGUGGAGUGACUCAAAAGAGAUCGAUCUUUUUUUGUAAACACUCUCUCCCCAAAAGUUUAGGCUUUUGUUCUUCUCAUAUUUCCUUUCAAUAAAAUCUCCAUUUUUAUUAUAUUUUUUUUUCCACCACAAUCAUGAGCCACUAAACCCAUCUAGCCGAAAGUUGUCGAUAUUUCCCAAAAAGGGUUCUUGAGGCUUAGAGUCCGUACUUAGCCUCUCGUUGAGUAUUCAUCAUUUCUCCGCACUACGGGGCUGACACUUCCAUCCAUGUCCCUUAAAAAGUAAGCUUUUCAACGUAUGCAAAGGCGGCCGCUUUGUGUAUUUUGGGAAGGUUGCACAGUCGGUUCGUUAGCUUACUGCGCCAGAGGUUGGCGAGCUUAGAGACAAAAUGGCGUGGGAUUUGCCAUUGAGAAGCGUUGAUCUAGCAUAAGACGAUUCCACAGAAACAAUUGUUGGCUAGAGUCAGGUUCCAUUAAAUCGCAAGUCUAAAUCCUUGAAACUGGUGGUCGUAGGCGUCCUCUUCCUGACUUAUGCGGUUUGGGAAGGAUCAUCUAAAAGCCGAAGAUAGAACCCAAGGCGGAACGAGACAACUAGAGGCUGGAAUCUCCCAUAAGAAUUUCUUUUCUCUCAACUUUAUUUUUAAUUUCUCAAAUUUUUGAUUCAAAAUUCUUAAUUCUAUUUUAUUUUAUUUUUCAUUUCCAGAUCCAAACCUUUAAUUCUGUUAUUUUUAUUUUUUUUCCAGGCACGCAGGUUUUCUUGGGCAAGAUUCUGCGGGGAUUUCACGGAACAAGAUAUUGUGCAAAUCCAGUCCCUGAAGAUUUGACCCUACUUUCAUUUUACUAUUCUUUUUCAUUAUUUAUUAGGGAUUGGAUAUUUUUUGUGCUUUCAACGACUACAUCAAAUUUUGGCGUCGUUGCUGGGGACUGGCAACGUACUAAUCUUGUUUUUUGUUUCUCAUGAGCAGAUCUGCUCCAGGUACUCUUGCUUUCGAUUCAUAAAUUGAGAAAACUGCUAGAGCCAAUCGUAAGGAGACAAAGUUAUAGAAAAAGCAGUCAACAGUGGUUGGAAC